RNAcentral lists this ribosomal RNA (643 nucleotides) under Trichoderma gamsii. RNAcentral's name for it is "eukaryotic LSU rRNA". The stretch from base 254 to 407 matches the Rfam family "5.8S ribosomal RNA". Lineage: Eukaryota; Fungi; Ascomycota; Sordariomycetes; Hypocreales; Hypocreaceae. The record is from RNAcentral.
CUUGGUCAUUUAGAGGAAGUAAAAGUCGUAACAAGGUCUCCGUUGGUGAACCAGCGGAGGGAUCAUUACCGAGUUUACAACUCCCAAACCCAAUGUGAACCAUACCAAACUGUUGCCUCGGCGGGGUCACGCCCCGGGUGCGUCGCAGCCCCGGAACCAGGCGCCCGCCGGAGGGACCAACCAAACUCUUUUCUGUAGUCCCCUCGCGGACGUUAUUUCUUACAGCUCUGAGCAAAAAUUCAAAAUGAAUCAAAACUUUCAACAACGGAUCUCUUGGUUCUGGCAUCGAUGAAGAACGCAGCGAAAUGCGAUAAGUAAUGUGAAUUGCAGAAUUCAGUGAAUCAUCGAAUCUUUGAACGCACAUUGCGCCCGCCAGUAUUCUGGCGGGCAUGCCUGUCCGAGCGUCAUUUCAACCCUCGAACCCCUCCGGGGGGUCGGCGUUGGGGAUCGGGAACCCCUAAGACGGGAUCCCGGCCCCGAAAUACAGUGGCGGUCUCGCCGCAGCCUCUCCUGCGCAGUAGUUUGCACAACUCGCACCGGGAGCGCGGCGCGUCCACGUCCGUAAAACACCCAACUUCUGAAAUGUUGACCUCGGAUCAGGUAGGAAUACCCGCUGAACUUAAGCAUAUCAAUAAGCGGAGGA